Catharus ustulatus (Swainson's thrush) is the source of this 9537-nucleotide long non-coding RNA. RefSeq lists it as uncharacterized. The transcript is spliced from 3 exons. The record is from RefSeq and is a predicted model, not a curated record. Lineage: Eukaryota; Metazoa; Chordata; Aves; Passeriformes; Turdidae.
CCCUCCCCUGUGUCUUUUAAGAAGUUGAUAUUUUUCUGGCAUUAAUUGUCUGAUUUGCUGUUCGUGGAUUCGAUGCGAGCAGUUGGUUCGUGCUGGGGCCCAGCUGCCCAGUACCAGAUCUCUGAUAACAGCAGUAGUUUGGGGAGGGUGCAAAAAUCUUUUUAAAUGAGAGGCAAUAAAUAAUUUUUUUCCUAUAAGGAGUGGGACUAAACAAGUGUAGAUUAGACUGAUAGUCUUUUUUGCAUCUCUUAGUCAAGAUUAAAAAAUUCUGAUGCCUUCUUUCUCUUUAUAUAGGAUAUAAAAGGUGUUUCUCUGGGUGUUCUUCUACAAGAGAUGCCUCUUUUUUAAUCUUUCAUUUGACAGCCCAGUUCCUUUGUGAAACCACAUUCUGGUGUCAGUGUGGGGAAAGGAAAAAAUAAUUUUAACAAUGGAUGAGAAGACACUUCAGGCUUUCUGCAUAAUUAAUUAUAGUCAUUUAAAAUCUUGAGCAAAGUCUAUGCUUGGAGAAGUUCUAAGUUAUAAUUAAGCCAAGCUGCUAACGAUGGAUCUAAUUGUUGGGUUACAGACAGGCACAGGUAACACGAGUUGGGCCACUGACACCAGAUAUUUUACCCAAUUGUUUUCUGUUGAUGCAGCUAAUUCCACACAACUGUUCCAGCAGCUGGAAUGACCAUCAUGGGAUGGGUGUGGAUGCAUGUCAAGAGUUUUCCCUGACAGACUUUACUGGCCCAAGGUCAUUGGUCUUUACAGGUACCAUGUCCUCCCUAGUGCUGGCUGUCAGAAAGCUCCCUGGAGCACAGCUGCUUUAACCCUGCUGCUGCUGAACCCCAGCCAUGACAGACUGGAGACAGGAGAAUGGAUCAGCUGUUAAGAUGACUCUGCCAAUUCCCUCUUUCUAUGCCAUGUCUUUCUGAAGAAUGGAAGUAUUGUCAUUGAGAGGAAAGUCAAAUCCAACAGUGCAGGCAGGCUUUGGUAUUGCACUGGUGAGUCUGCUUUUAAAACCAAACAGUAAUCUUCUUCCUCUCUGUCCCCCCUCCAAAGGAUUUCCAUCUCUUCAGAGUGAUAGAAGUAUCAAAUCAUGCCUGGACAGACUUUCCUCUUACUAUAGAUCUAGCGCUGGUUGCCUGUACAGUUUUUCCUGUCCUGAGGGAUUAGGACACUGAACUCUUUCCAACUCAACUGCAUCAGUGUGCUGAAGAUGUGAAGACUGAGUGUAUGGAACAGAGGAAAGAGGAGAGAGAACUUCAUGCAGAACAUCUAAGAAGCUUUAGCUUCAAUCAUAUCUCUGUGAAAGCUGCUGCACAUAACACAAGCCUCAGACAACUCGAGUUGUUGUUAAUUAACGUCUUGAUGAAAACGAAGUCUUUGCCAUCUGUUCCUCCACCUCACUACGAAUGCUGCUCUCAUGGUGAUUAUGUAAGUAAAAAUGAAAAUAUAUUUUGGUAGAGUGCUGCAUGGCACUGUGCUGAUUCUUCUCCUGUUUCUAUUUACCAUUCCCUGCCCCCACCCCACAAGGAAAGGAAAAGGCGACAAUUGUUUGACUCCUCGCAGCUUUAUCCUGGAGCUGCCGUGCUGGCUGCCAAGCCCUGUGCUGUGGGAGCAGCCACCUCACCCCUGCUGCGUUUGAGCCGUGAGCCCUUUGCAAACCCUGAUUAUUAUUAGGUUCAUGAAAAAGCCGUGGUGGGAAGAUGCCCCUUAAGCUGAAGUUGCUCUAAAUUCUUGUGAGGGGUUAACUUGAAAUGCAGAAGAAGGAACGUGAAAAGGAAGGCCUGGUUACUCCAUAAGUGAUAGCCUGACCUCUGGGAGCAGCCUGCUGCUCCUGUUACAAGCGUGGCCUCUAUCUGUCCAAGGGUGGAGAAGGAGAGGAGGGGUAGCUUUCCUGUAAGUGGGUUAGAGCAAUUACUGAGGUCUCUUACAGCAAAUGAAGUUGUCAGUGUGAGUCACAUUCCCUUUUUUCUCUCACUGCCAAGUUUUAGGCACUAACCAGACAGCGGGAGAAAAAAAAAAAAAAAGGAAAAGCAACAAUGGGGAAAAGUUGAACUGGAACAACCCUUCAUUCGUGGUAUUGUUUGAUGUUUUAGCUCUGAUUGUACAUAGAGAUAAAGGAUCUAUAAAUAUCCUGUCUGCUGAAAUUCCUUAUCACAACAUGGCCUGUCAGCUGAACAAAUAGGUUAGGCUCUCCAAUAAUACAUAAUUACAUAUGUAAAUACAAAAUUACCCAUUAAAUUCCUGCAAUGCCACAUGCAGUGGAGCCUCAUCACUGGAGGACAUUAACCUCUUGUGGUGCACUAGAGCUGUCAGCCUCAGGACAGCGAGUGGCACAUGCAGCUGUCAGUGCUGAAACAGCAGGAGCUCAGAGACUGGGCUGGAAUCAGCAAGGAGAUAUUUAUCUGCAUGACUAGACUAGAUGAAAGCAUCUUCUGACACUUUUUGAAAGUAUCUGAGCAUUUAGCUCUGUUUAGCAAAUGUCUGGAAGCUUUUCUACUCUGCUUUAGAGCUUUUAAUGAAGCAUUGUGAUUCCCAUUGUGGUCAAUUGUUUGACACUUUUAUUAUUACUGGUAUGCAGAGUGUUUUUUAAUGUUUGACAGCUGGAGAAAGAAGUAUUUUGUGCAUUGAAACUUUUAGCACAAAGCUGCUGUUUUCCAUUCUGCCUUUGUCUUUUAUUCUUGCUGAUGCAAAUCAACGAAAGACAGAACUGAUUAAAUUACAUUUGUUUACUUCUUCCUUGAUGAUAAUAAGACACAGCCUGCCUUUUAUAAAAGGCAGAAAUAGAGGAUGUGACUGUUUCUACAGUAUUUCUAGAAAGGCUUUUUUUCCCCCCUUACAAUAUAAAGGCAUUUAUUUGUUUCUAAUGUCUUGAUUUACCAGAUAAUGCGCACUUCCUAAUGUGUGUGGAACAAGAAUAGAGCUAUGAAGGACAGUUAGCAAUGGAUUCCAUUUGGAAAGCUUCUAUCUUGUUAUUUUUAUUAAUCCAACAGUAUAAAUUAGCAGAACACAUCACAAAACAAACACAGCAAGAUACUUCUGUCCUUCACAGUAGGGCUGCUGAUCAUUGCACAAAGCAGUGCCCUCCAUUGCAGGCUUUGGGUUUAUACAGCCACAGUCCUGCUACUGGGUCCUGCCUUCAGGGCACUGCUACCACUGGAGAGAGAGGAGAGGCACAAAUAGGAUCCCCAGGAUUGUUUUGGUGAGUAAUGUGCAUGUCUUGGAGAUUGUGUAAUACCUUUUUUUGAACACUUGUCCUGAGAAAGGAAGACUGGGUUUGUCUGUCUUGCUUGUGCAAUUUGCAAGGGAAAAGAUCCUGCAGCAGGAGGGCAUUUCUUGUGGAAAGGCCCUCCUGAUCCAGGCAGUUUGUGAGAUGGUAGGACAACAUUACCAGCAGCACAGAGAAUUGCAGCAGGGAGACUUUGGGAAGCAUAAAUGGCAGAAACAUGAGAAGCAGAGGAUGAGCAGAAAGGAGGUGGUUAUGGAAGUCAUUACAAAACUGCCCUCAUUGCUUUUUCCUGCAUUUUUCAAAAACAGAGAGAAGUGCAGCAAAGGAUGGCAAAGGCAAGAGAAGUGUCUGAAGGUUUCUCAGCAGUGCAGUCAAACCUCCUGAUUUUACAGCUGAAACUAGUCUUAGGGAGUGAUAUCACCUGGCAGCUGAGCCAAAUCUAAAGGACUGCUGGUAUCAAAAUGAUGCUUCUGCUUCCAGUCCUGCUGUUUUCUUUGUACGGGUCUGGUGCUUGUCUGACUCUUUAAUGAGCUCAUGCAGUUCAGUAAACUGCAAGAAAAUGAAUUCAGUAAAAAAUACGCCAGUCCAGACAAGAAGAAUUGGACACUGUAAGAAUGGAGACUGCAACGAAUGGGAGAAGCAUGAACAUCAGAAUUUUGCUGCACAUUUGGGGUGUUUUAGGGAGUACCUUGCUCCUCGUUGGUGCUUUACCUCCUACUUCACCUCCUAGGUGGGGCUUCCCUCAAAAGGGCACAGGAUGAACACGCCUGAGUAGGGAGGCUGACUGGAGAGGUGAAGGAAGGUCCCCCAGCAGCACCAGCUCCUGGGGCAGAGGGAGGACAGAAUGAGACUGCAGCAGCAGCCCAGCAGGAUGUGGAGAAGAGUGUAGUGCAAGAGGAACCAAGAAGGAAAAGGGACACAUACACAGAGUAACCACAGAAGGUUACUGCAGCAAGCACUGGAAAAAUGCUUGGGUAUAGAGCAAUGGUCCCAUCUUCCUAAUCUAGCUCUUAAGGGGUUUAUUCUCAUGUAUCCAUGUAGCUGCCCCUGAAGGUGCUUAUGUCCCUUAUUUAGCCAUACAUUUCUCUAAAGAGGGUUUUGAUAAGAGGACAGCUGCUGCAUUUUUAUUAUCUAUGAUAAGCAGCACUAAAAUCAGUUUAGAGUUCAUGAUGGAAAUGUAUCUAUAUAUUGGCAUUUUUCCAGCUGCACUGCACAAAGGUAAAUGGGACAUGAGAUUGGUGCACUGCCCCCUUUUAAUCCAUUUUCUCUAGACAGGGGCACUUUGCCUCUCUGCAGGAAAGGCCAGCGCAGCUACUGUGCUAAUAAACACUCAUUCCUCACUGCAGCAUCUGCACUUCCCAGACUCAUAAAUCCAAGCAACUUGUAGUUGAAUAGCAAUUAAAUAUCCACGUGCAUUUCCAUACCACGGUCUGGUGCACAAGGCAUAGGCUAAGUGGCUGCACAUCUGCUGUCUGCUCCCCCACACGUGCUGCUUGGCAGAGCGUGGUCACUUAACCUUAUCCUGCCACCAUUAAUGGCAUAUGGAACAUUGGAUGCAGAGCAUCAUCCUACAGAUAUUUUGCCAUAUCUUUCUAAAAGAAUGAUGUUCCUUUUUGUGUGUUUUGUUGUUUGUUAUUUUUUUAAAGCAGCCUUUAUUCUCUCUCUCUCAGGAUUUCCAGGCCAGGGAUUCAGGUGGGCUGUUAACAUCAGUUGGAAAUGAGACAUCAUAUUGAAAAGUUAGUUGAGAUUCAGGACACUGAUACAUCCUCACAACAAUUUUGUGUCACUUGUACAAAACCCAGAGACUUGGUAAUGCAGUAAGAUAAAUGCAGUGCCUGGUUACAGUGGAUGUAUUGCACUUAUAAAAGGCAUCUCUUAUCAUGAGGCUCUGGUAUCUGCAGUAAUAACCACCAUAUGUCAGGUAAGACAAAGAUAAUGUGAGCCAGAUCAUUUUUCCCAUUGUUAAAACUUCCAAAAACCUAAAAGCUACAAAUGUCUUAAUUAUUAAUUCAAUUUUGCUACAUCUAGUGCUGGUAGCUGGAGGGAACAUCUUUCUGAGGUUCAAUCUUUCCUCUUGUCUAACUGAUAUGAGUCUGUGUGGCAGAGUUUUAAAUGCUAUAGCCAUUUACAGUACAGUAAUUGCCCAUCUUGCAUUUCUAUGCAGCAGGAUUUUACCACAUGAAACUGCAGUUCAGAUGUUCCCAUCUUGAACAAAAGGAUAGCCUUGUAGUUUGCUUUGAACUUAGCAGUGAAUUUACCAGUGGUGAAGCUGUAUGAGGCCCCAGCCUGUCUUGUGUCUGACUGUACAGUGUUGUGGUUGUGCAGUUACCUUUCAAAAUGCUUAUUCUCUAUGGAACUGGCAGAAACCUUGAAUUCCCUCCCCAACCCCCACCCCGUGUGUCUGUCAGCUGCAGACCAAGUCCUAGCCAGAUCACAAGAACAUCCUGAAUCAGUCACAAUAAUUUGCAUUUCCUCGCCAAAGAUUUUAUCUGCUGGGGGUGCAAAUUGUGCCAUCAAGGUUUCUGGUGUUGAAUAAUCUGCACCCUUCUGCUCUCCAGCUCUUCCUUUCCCAGCUAGGUUAAUUUAUCCAGAGGAAUUAAUUGAGGGAACAAAGCUGACAAGUUAGAAAGGCCACACAGCAAGACAGCACCACUCUGAACAUGAGCACAAUUUGUGUAUUUGAUUAGGUACCUCAGCACUGGCAGAUUGUUGUUAAAAGCAAAUCUUACUUUUGCCAUUUCCAUACAAGACUCUGCUGCAAUUCUGCAGCUGUUUGUUCUCUGUAUCCCCACAUUGUUUAAAAAAAUGAGGAAUGAUGGUAGUAAAAAUUACACUUGCUCAUUCAAAUAUCUUGCUGUUUACAUAUGAGAAGGAUCAUGUGCUGGGGUGCAAUGAUCUAAUGAGAGAUUCAACGUAGCCUUCAACAAGAGCUGGAUGGGACCCUCAAAAUCUGCUGCUUUCACACAAAUUGUCCUCCAAUAUAUAUAAUGAAAACCUCCUUUUGUUUAUAAUGACAAAUGCCACAGGGGUUGUAUAUUUUUAUGUUAUUUUUUCUCUAGGAGUGUUUAUUAACAAAUGCUUGCAAGUUUUAUGAUGUGGUGAAAACUAUAUCUCUCAUGAUAAACAGGAAGUGCUCAGAGGUAUUGCAUUACCCCAUAAUGCAACACAGAUUCCAACAGCUUGGCUCUUUUUCUCAAAAUAUGGUGAUACUGCUUUGUUUAGGAAAUCUCUCUUCUCUUCACAGCUUUUAUCUGCUAUAGAUAUGCAAAAUUGCAAAAGAAAUAUUUGUUUUUUAAAAUGAUGAUUCAUCAGUUUUCGACUGUAGAAACUGAGGUCUGUAAUUUAUAUAAAAUCUAUGAAAAAUAAGCAGUAAAGACCCUUUGGGCUGUCAGAUCAGUGGAUUUGAACAAAGAGCAAGGAAAGGAGACUGAUACCUGCCCUCCCUCCAGCAGCACAGGUGUAGACAGCAAAGAUGCAGAUUUCCCUGCAGCCAUAAACCUGGUGCUGCCUCUUCUGCACUUCCACGUCAGCAAGGUCAGGACCUGCCCAGCAGAGAAGAGGGAAUCCUGUUUCCUUGUCACGUGCCCAGGAAGGCUCAGUGUGACAGUUUUUUUUGUGGAACCUUCAUCCAGAAUUGCUGUGCUACGGCCUCAGCUUGCUCCUAAAGGCUGCCCUGCACUCGUCAUGGAAUGUACAGCCAUCAAUGCUGGCUGAAUGUUCAACCCUGGUGAAAAUCUCAGAAUGCCAUUAGUAUAUUGUCCCCUAUCACUUGUUUCUGUUCAGCCACUGCCCGUGGUUUAGAUUACAUCUAAUAACAGCAGACAAGUGGGACGUGUACUUGUGCCAUCAGUCAUCAGCCACGUGCAUUUGUGAUGAACGUCACCCCUGCAGACGCCGACGUCAGGGAAAGCAAGUCCUGGUGAGCUCUUUUUAGAAGGCCUGGCAUCAGUCCCCAAACUGGUUCUCCAUGAAUAGACUUGUGUGGCUGCCAGGGGCUUCACUUGCACACAGCCAGUGGGGUCUGGAUAUUACCCCUCCAACCAGACCCUUCUAUUCCUACAGCUCAGUCCCACUACCUGUUCAUUUUACUUUUAAUUUACAUUCCUCCCCCCAUAUUCUCUUUUACUCAUUCUUGCACCACUCUUUUUCCUCUGUCCUCACAUCAGCCAACCUCUUCAUUACAGAAGUUCCCUACAUUUUUAGCUAUGAGCAAAAAGCCUUAAAAAUGCAAUAUUAGGACAACAAAAAAUCCUAAUAAUCCUGUUUCUACACGCUUUGACUUGUGCCUCUGCUGGAGGCAUCACUUGUCCUGCCUACAGCUGAACCAAGAAUAAGUGUGGGGGAAACACACUGCAUGUUCUAGUAUCUGUAAAUUAUUAGACUUCUGAGGUUAUGUAAUAAUUUUAUCUCAUUUUUAAAAUUAUUUUCUUAGCAAUCAAUGAUACCAGAAAUGCAGAGAUCAAGAGACUGAUAUUAGGUACUAGCUAAAUCUUAUUGUAAAAACUUAAUAGCCUUCCAGUGUAUAAAGCUUCAGCAGCAGAAAACAAGGGUCAUACAGCAGGACCUCAGUGAACUCACAAGUCAUUGUAAUAUGCUGAGUAAAUAAUGAAUAUAUGUAUGUUUUGUUUUGUCAGUCCUGUAAAAUAACUUUUUAUCUGGUGAUUCAAUUCUCUUAUCACCCCCAGCUUGUUUACUGAAUUUUAAGUCUUGGGCAAGAUGAAGCAAGCUCAUGAGGAGUAGCUGGUUUUCAAAAGAUACAAGCUCCAGAUAACAGAGGACAAGUAAGGCACACAACAAUAUUGAAAUCACUCAGAGUUUUAUUGCAGCUGACUGAGACAGAGUGUGCUUUGAGGCUGGGAAAUUUCCAUUACUGAACUGCAGGACAGUGCCUGGAUACUGCUACUACUGCAGUUGAAAAAUAAAAGCAACUUAAUUUUAUACAAACAACAACAAAAUGUUAAUUAAAAUAGCUAGAUUUAUGUGAUAAGCCUUUAAGGUUGCUGUAAAAUGGAUCUCUUUAAAAUAUUUAGAGUAUGAUUGCAAACUGCUUGUUCAAAACUAAGGAACAUAAAAAUUACUUGAAAUUGCAACUGUGUUUUCAAGCCAUAUUUGUGAACAGCAAAUCUAACCAGAACAUGAUGGAUAAUACAAGACAUCUCCUAUAACAGUGACAGGUUCUGACAGUGACAGAAUGAUACCCAGUGCAGGAUCAAGGCUGUUACUGACAGAAUCAUUCUGCAAUUAAUAAUCUUUUGUGCUCCCCUUGGCAUGCACAGAACAACCACAGCAAUCUGUUUACUCAUCUUAACUCCAUGGUGUCUAAGCCACAGUAAGCUCCACGCAAAGUCCAUCAGAAUGUUGAAUGCAGAAAAAAGGAAACACUGGGGGGAAAAGCCAAUUUGCUCUGGCACCAAGUGCCUAGCAAUUUGGGUGAGAGAGUGUUUUUAACCUCCCAGCAGUGCAAGAUUACAGCAAGAGCCUCAUUUUCCUUGAGGGGCCUUUACGCUGCCAAAGCAGUGGUCAGCAUUCACAAGAAGCUCAAGGGAUUUCUGCUGUGUGUCACCCGUUCAGUCAAGCCCAGGUAGGUACUGACUAGAAGUUAUCAGCAGCUGAUGCUCUUUCUGAGUCUUACAAUUGUUCCCUGUGGAUCAGAGCUCAGAUCUAAGCAAUUUCAGGAACCAUCACCAUGGUUCCUGAGUGUCUUUGAAGUUAAAAUAUAUCUUUAUAAAACAUUUUAACAUGUCUUAUUUCUCUCCCUCAUCACCCCCGCACAAAGGCUUGAGGUCUUUUAAAAUAAUUCUGCUAAAAUUGUAUAUAUUUAAUGCCUGUGUUUUGUUGGGAUGAUGGGGAGGUUCAGGUUCAUGCUGACAUACUCAGCAUGUUACCAAGAAAGCUAUGGCUGCAAUGUCCCACGUAAAUCACACAGCCAGUAUAAUUAUGAUGAUUUUAGGAGAUGUGGCUUCAGUUUUAAAUUAGCACAAAGAUCUGAGAUGCCUCCCACCCCCACUACGGAGGGGCACUGCAGGGCAGCUCCGUGGUGUUUGUCCUUGGCCUGACCCAGCACUGCUGAUCCCAGGGCUCGGGGGCCUUGUGGUACAAUGUUCCCUUUUCAAGAGACCUAUUUACAGAACAAGAAUUAACAGUUAAAGCAGAAACGAGUAACAGUGCAGGGAAUUUCUAGACCCUGGUGCAGGAUGAAUUCAUUCAUGUGACUCCUGAACUUGACUGAAGAUGGAGACAAUCCAAACCAUGGCAUUUUUACACUGAGUUAGCUUAUGGCUUAGCUUUUUCUUAAUAUUCCUGCUUCUGCUUACACAAACUCU